UACGGGGGGAGCAAGCGUUGUUCGGAUUUACUGGGCGUAAAGGGCGCGUAGGCGGCCACUGCAAGUCAAUUGUGAAAUCUCCGGGCUUAACUCGGAAAGGUCAACUGAUACUGCAGGGCUAGAGUGCAGAAGGGGCAACUGGAAUUCUCGGUGUAGCGGUGAAAUGCGUAGAUAUCGAGAGGAACACCUGCGGCGAAGGCGGGUUGCUGGGCUGACACUGACGCUGAAGUGCGAAAGCUAGGGGAGCGAACGGG
Molecule: ribosomal RNA, 254 nt
Filed under: uncultured bacterium
Lineage: Bacteria
Description: partial 16S ribosomal RNA
Rfam family: Bacterial small subunit ribosomal RNA
Source: RNAcentral